RNAcentral lists this long non-coding RNA (4893 nucleotides) under Zea mays. RNAcentral's name for it is "long non-coding RNA (ZMAY_LNC001176)". The record is from RNAcentral. Lineage: Eukaryota; Viridiplantae; Streptophyta; Magnoliopsida; Poales; Poaceae.
GCGCGGACUCCUUCCUCGCCUUGCACUAUAAGAGCAUGUUCCCCAGUACCCGUACUUCCCCUUGACCAUACCUCGGAACCAGAAAAGAAAAACCCAAACCACCAGCACUCGUGGGAGCUCGGGGGCGAGAAAUCGAGUAGCGUCGCCGCGUUAAUUUCUCGGAACGCCACCGUCCUGAUUCCAGAGGAGGUGCAAUUGGUGUUCGCGGGACAUCGGUGGACAAGCCUCUAGGCAUGACGGUCACCAUGGUCUAGCCAAUUCGUCGCUGGAGUACUCCACUCGGCGGAAUCUGCAGUCGGUCGUGGCCGGCUGAUUUGGGCACCCAAUUAACCGGUACGUCCUCGUCUAGUGUGUUCCUCGUCUCCUCCGCAAUUAUUUUCGGGAAUCGAGGAUCGAAGUGGAGGGUCGGCUCGCGAAAUCACCUCGCCGCGGCAGGUCGCCGGUGAGAGUUGGGGGCGGCGCGGUCGCAUGCUGUCGAGGGGAGGAAGAAAGGUUUGCGUCGUCGGAUGGGUUUUGGACGGUCAGGAUUAGAUCAAGGAAUACCGAUUCACUGGUGUUGGGGACUUGUUCUCAAAUGCUAUGAGUUAAGAACAAGGCAACACAAAAUGUUAAAUGUUAAUGUCCUUCGUCCUUUGAAGCAUUAUUUCCCUUAGGAUAUAAUGAUCUUCGGACGAAGGUUAUGAAAGACAUAUCUUCAUCAACGUGAUAUGUGUUAAUAAAAGAAUAAGUAUAUGAAACAUAAUAGGCCAAGUAAAUAAUCACAUAACAUUAUUAAUUCAUUGUAUUAUCCUGGAAAGACAGAAACAAUAUUGAAUUACAAGUGUACCUUCGGCUUGAUAGAAAGCAAAAAAACAAGCGUGACACAAAAGCAGGAACAAGUCAGCGUGAACAGUACGGGGGUACUGUUCAUCUAUUUAUAGGCACAUGACGCAGCCUAUGAGAAAUUACAUAUAUGCCCUUUACAUUUAUUAUUGACUUAUAUACAAAUCUAUGAGGACUAGAUAGCAUUUUCCCCUUUAAGUCGGUUCCUUUUUCCGUCAUUUAGCCGAAGCUCCCCUGCGUAGCUUCGGAGCAAUUCCAACCUUCGUCACGGUCAUGCUUUUUACAUCGUACAUGCUUUUAGCCCGAGUCCGAAGGUACCUGUUCAUAUGUCACACUUGGAAGAUAUUGUUAAAUCACGUUUUUGAGGACCUUCGAAGGACGAAGGCCCCCAACAGUAGCUCCUCGCAUUAUUAAUUUGUUUAAGAUAACGAAUUCAGACCAUGACAUGGACGAAGGCCUUAAGCCGAAGGUCUGAAAAAACACCUUCCCUUUGCUAGAAUAGCAACAGUCAAUGACGGACGGGGCCCCCAAUUUGGAGCGUGUCGAGCGUAUAAAUAAGAACUCGCACCAACCUCAUUUGGUACGCUGCUUGUGCCAUUUGCUUUAUUUUCUCAAUUUUAUAGCUCUUGCUCACUAACGCUUGCUAGUUCUCAAGCUUCCUGAGCUUCGGUUAGAAAGACACAUUUUCGCCACCUCUGAAGGAAAAAAUGUCUCAAGACAAGAAGGUUGCUGCUGAGACGAAGCUAACUAAAGAGGAGAAGCUUUUCGAGGAGAAGAAGGCUGCAAAUCCUUACAUAGCUGGGUUUAUCGAGUGAAUGGCAAAAUCAAAUACAGAGAAAAUUACUAAGGAGAUACUGGAGGGCAUAUCUGAAGAUACUGAUGACAGUGAUAAUUAUGAUGUAGAAAGUAAAGGCGAAGAUUUCGAGGAUCGACCCUGGAGACCAAGUCAUGCAAUUUUUGGAAAAUCGACCAUCAAGCAAAGUCACCUAAAAAAUAUGAGGGGAAGGUACUUUCGGGAUAUGUCUAUUGUGAGGGCUGGCGGAGACAACAACGUUCCUGCGCCUGAGGAGGACGAAGUUGUGAUUUUCCGAAGCUUCUUCAAAGCUGGGCUUCGGUUCCCACUGAGCAGGUUUGUGGUUGAAGUGCUGAAAACCUUCCAAAUUUUCCUUCAUCAAUUGACACCCGAAGCCAUAUUGAGGAUGGGAGUCUUCGUCUGGGCAGUAAGAAGCCAAGGGACAGAGCCAAGCGCAAAAUGCUUCUGCAGCAUGCACGAACUUUUGUAUGAGACGAAGGCCACGGGGAAAGAACAAUAUCACAACAACUUCGGUUGUUACGGAUUUAUUGCCCGUCUCAACGCAAGCCACCUCAUGUCGACAUUUCGGAAAAGAUGGCCGGGAAAUUGGAUGGAAGAACGGUUUUCUGUGAAGAACGACUUGAUAGCGAGGGAGGACAUCAAGGAGGUUAUUAUGCGCCCCAUAUGGUCCCGCUUCGGCCUUCGAAAGCCGUAGGUUGAAAUUGAUGAAGCCACCGAAGCAUGCCAGAAGGCAUUUGGUACUAUCUGCUUUUUUAUUGGUACGAGAGAUUUAAUUCAAGAGCACAUAGCAUUCAAAGUAUGGCCGCUUGUAGAGAGGUGGGAGAUGUCGAAGGAGACCGUCACCAAGUCUAGCGAAGGUGAAUUGGUCCGGCUGAACUAUACAUUCAGACAUGGGGAUAAAUUCGAUGAACCAAACGAUGACUGGCUAAAAUGCAUCGAAGUUACAAGUGAUGAACUGUUUGGAUCAUAUUCCAAGGCAGAAUAUAAUGCAUUAUCCACAGCCUUCGGAAGUCGAGAAAAGAAGAGAUUGAACAAGGUUUUUGACGCUAUUGGCUUCGUCCACCCCGACUACCGCUACCCGCUACGGGGGCAAGGGAAGAAGAGGAAAGCUACUGCUCUGGCCGCCUCGGCUGAACCUGUGCCGAAGGCUGUGAGCAAAAAGAUGAAGGUACUUACCCACCAGCCAUGUUAUAUUGAAUCGGCUGUGGUGCCUGAGUUUGGCGGGGAGGCCUCUUCAGCUGCUGAAUCAAGAGAAACUGCUCCUCUGCGCAAAGGACUGAAGAGCCAACUACAAUGCCGAAGCUACCCUCAGCUGAGCUAGCUGAGACGAAGAUUGAUAAGGAUAAGGCUGAAGAGUCAAAUAUUGGAGAAACAAAAGUGUUAGAAAUUUUAAGCCCUUCAUCAGAAGUAACAACACCGAAGGCACAAAAAGGUUCUGCCGCAACUCCCAAGAGGAGAAGGAUGGCAAAUGUACUAGAUGUGUUAGAAACAGUAAAGACUUUGAACUCUACUCCUUCUAGGAAAAUUGCCAAAGCAUCGAAAGUGCAAACCGAAGCUGAAACAAAGCAGGCCGAAAUUGAAGCUGCAGUAAUUCAAGCUGAUACCGAAGCUGAGCCUUUAGAGUCUUCUGAGACAGAGCCUGUCGUGAUUGAAGAAAAGGCGAGAGAACAAGUUGCGCCUGAAAGGGCUAAAGCUCCUGCCUCCGAAGCUUCAAAAGAAAGCACAGAUUACAUCAUUCGCCAUGCUUCGGGGAAGAGACUUUCUCAAGAAGAAAAACUGGAAGCACUACACUAUGCCCAAAAAUUAAAAUACCCGAAGGGGGCAUUAGUGUUUAAUGGCAGCGGGGAGGAAGAUUUUUUGUACUGUCUCCCGGAUAGUAAAGAGAUAUCCGUAUGCCGGGAGAUAGGGAGAAGCAUCGGAUUUCUGACGCUGGAAGAUGGUCUUUCAGUCUUAUCGAAGGAUGAGCUUGCUGACAGCUUAGCGUAUAACAACAUAAAGGUAUAAAUGCUGAUUUAGUAUUUUGAAAACAAAACAUUUUAUUUGUUUAUACUUAUUUCCAUCUCCCUCUUGCAGGGCUUAAUUCUUAGCAAUGCCCUUAGGUCACAAAAAAAUAUUGAAGAUGAAGGAUAUACAAUAGCUCUGAACAACCUUCGUUCAGAGGUAAUCGAACUAAGGAACAAUGGUCUGGAUAAAGACAAAAUUUUGAUUUCGUUGGUGAACAAAGUGAAAGAAGAUGAAGCCAGCUUCAAGGCUCAAGCUGAGAUCCAAAAGAAUGAGAUCGAGGACCUUCGAAAACAAUUGGCAGAGGCAAAAGAAAAAUGCGCUCUCGCAGAAGCUAACCGAGAGGCCAGCGAAUAUUGGAAAAACUAUUUAGAAAAAACAGUUGAAGAGCUUCGCGCAUCCAAGGAAAAAUGUUUUGAAAAAUCUUUGGGUUGCGUGAAGAAGAUAAAGGCUAGCUUCGCCAACGUGGGUGCCUAUUCAAACGAAGAUAAUUUCAUACGAGGCGACCCUGAGGGUGUUAUUGAGUGGAUAAGCGGAGAAGUCGAAGCUUUUGAGGAAAUUUUAAGUGAUCGCGGGGAUGUCUGGGUGUUUUCUAGUGCGAGAGGAGUUUCAGCCAUCUUGGAGAAGGCAUGUUGCAAUCAUGUUAAAACCUUGGCCCAGGCCGAAGCUGCCCUCUCCAUGGAUGACACAAAGGAUCCCUCGGCCGAAGCAAGCUUAAUGGGCGGAAAAUUUUACACUGUCAUCUGGGAAAAUGGCGGCCAAGAAAUGGCUCACGAAAUAAUGAAGAAAAGUGAAAAAGAUAUUCACGACGCUCGAGAAGCAGCGAAAAAAGCUGAAGAAGCUGCAGAACGCGAGAGACGGAUAUGUAUCGUUUAACGGCCUUUAGCUUCGUCGUUUGUUUUCAUGACUUCGAACUGAUUGAUUUUUUCUACCACAGCUGAACUAUCUCCUCCACCGGAGCCAUUCGACCCCCUGGCCGACCCAGAAACGAAGAGAGCAAUAGAAAUCAUCAACAUAGCCGAAUCUAUUGUUGACGAAGUUGUUAACAAGUUGUUGAAUGAAAUUGCGGAAAAGGUCCUGAAAGAGGACUGAUAUUGUAAAAACAUUUUUAGACUAUCAAUGUAGAUUCGCUGUAUGAAGACUGUAAUAUUCGAUGUGCAUAUUUUUGAAUUUAAUGUGUAAAUUAUUUGUAAUUCAGUUCUUUGCGAUGCAUGAAACUUUAUAUACAUACCAUUUUUGAGCCAUCGGCGAAAAAA